Molecule: long non-coding RNA, 454 nt
Organism: Condylostylus longicornis
Lineage: Eukaryota; Metazoa; Arthropoda; Insecta; Diptera; Dolichopodidae
Exons: 2
Source: RefSeq, a predicted model, not a curated record
AGAACUGAUUUUCGAUAUCAGUGUUCCUUUAAGCGUUCAAAAACCAAUUUCAAAAAUUUCAAAAAAAUUUUUUUUGAUAAAAAUGUUCAAAUUAUUCGGUUUUUUGGUUGUGCUAGCACUUUUUGCAGUAGCAAUUGCAUUACCAUCAGCAAGUCCAAUUGCAGGACCAUCUCCAGUUGCUAAUCCUCAGUUCUACUAUGGAUCACCAUACGCUUACGGUUAUGGUGGCUAUCCAUAUGCAUAUUCUUAUUAUGGAUAAAAAUUUUCUGAACUACAAAGCACAACAACGACAAUAAAAAUGAAAAGACCGGCGAUUGAGAACUCAUUGAUAAGGUACAACAGUAAGAUAAAAAUAAAGUUGAAAACUAAAAGAACAAAAUAUUCAAAAUUUAUUGUAAAUUUUUUUUAAUUAUUUUUUUUUUUUGAUAAUUAAAAUGUGUAUAUAAAAUGCAAA